RNAcentral lists this ribosomal RNA (647 nucleotides) under uncultured Basidiomycota. Its description in RNAcentral is "eukaryotic LSU rRNA". The stretch from base 249 to 402 matches the Rfam family "5.8S ribosomal RNA". Lineage: Eukaryota; Fungi; Basidiomycota. The record is from RNAcentral.
CAUUAUUGAAUACGUCGGGUUUCUGAUGCUGGCUCUUCACUGAGCAUGUGCUCGUUCCCUUCUAUUUAUCUUCUCUUGUGCACCUUUUGUAGUCUUUGAAGAAGUAAACCUUUUCGCAGCAAUGCGGUUUGGGGGCGUGGUUACAAUCUGCCUCUGCUUGCUUUCUUCAAGGCUAUGUUUUCAUAUACACUAUAAAGUUACAGAAUGUCUUUUAACGAUUGUGCUAGUCGCAGUCAUUAAACCUAUACAACUUUCAGCAACGGAUCUCUUGGCUCUCCCAUCGAUGAAGAACGCAGCGAAAUGCGAUAAGUAAUGUGAAUUGCAGAAUUCAGUGAAUCAUCGAAUCUUUGAACGCACCUUGCGCCCUUUGGUAUUCCGAAGGGCAUGCCUGUUUGAGUGUCAUUAAAUUAUCAACCUUGCUUGCUUUUACCAGCUCGCUCGGCUUGGAUGUGAGGGCUUUGCUGGCUUCCUUCAGUGGAUGGUCUGCUCCCUUUAAAUGCAUUAGUGGGAUCUCUUGUGGACCGUCACUUGGUGUGAUAAUUAUCUAUGCCAGUUUGACUUUGAAGCAAAAUUAUGGGAACCUGCUUAUAACCGUCCGCAAGGACAACUCUUUUGACAUUUUGACCUCAAAUCAGGUAGGACUACCC